This 274-nucleotide ribosomal RNA is filed under the name uncultured bacterium. Its description in RNAcentral is "partial 16S ribosomal RNA". It matches the Rfam family "Bacterial small subunit ribosomal RNA", at positions 523 to 796 of the family's 1533-position model. The record is from RNAcentral.
AUACGGAGGGGGUUAGCGUUGUUCGGAAUUACUGGGCGUAAAGCGCACGUAGGCGGAUUGGAAAGUUGGGGGUGAAAUCCCAGGGCUCAACCCUGGAACUGCCUCCAAAACUAACAGUCUAGAGUUCGAGAGAGGUGAGUGGAAUUCCAAGUGUAGAGGUGAAAUUCGUAGAUAUUUGGAGGAACACCAGUGGCGAAGGCGGCUCACUGGCUCGAUACUGACGCUGAGGUGCGAAAGCGUGCGGAGCAAACAGGAUUAGAAACCCUAGUAGUCC